RNAcentral lists this long non-coding RNA (560 nucleotides) under Physcomitrium patens. Its description in RNAcentral is "long non-coding RNA (PPAT_LNC003235)". The record is from RNAcentral. Lineage: Eukaryota; Viridiplantae; Streptophyta; Bryopsida; Funariales; Funariaceae.
CCUUAUAUAUCCAACCAAGUCAAGUCUCAUACUGGGUAAAGGGCCCAUUGUCGUAAUACAUGAAGUCUUACUUAAGAGUGCUUCGGGCAUCUGGCUGUACAACGAAGAAUGAAUAUUGCAAUAAAAAAAUCUUAAUUCUAAUAGAAUACUAACAUUACUCUAAUUUGACGAUAAUAAUGCUAAGCAAGCUUAAUCAAAUUCAAAAAAACCUCAAAGAAAUUUCAAACAAAUAAUAAGAAUUCUUAAAGAAAUAUCAGAAGGAUCAUAAAUAUCACUCAAAUACAUCUCAAUUCAAUCUUAAUUUAAUUCUAGUUAAAAUCAUAUUGAACUUCAUUCAAACUUUAGGCCCAAAGUAAUUAAAUCUUAAAUCUUAAGAAAAUCUUAGAUCUUAAAUCAAACCGUAAACAAAUCUUAAACCAAACUCCAACCAAAUCCUAAACAAAAUCCUAACCAAACCCUAAACCAAACCCUAAAUCCUAAAUAAAAUCCUAACCAAAUCCUAAAUCCUAACCAAACUCUAAAUCCUAAUUCUAAAUCCUAAAUCAAAUCCUAAACCAAAU